UGUCACAAUGCCCACCCACACAGAUGCAGACAGAGCCUGCAGCAGCCCCUCCCUCACACAGCUCGGGAGCAUAGCACCCACUCACUUCAUCCCUAGGGGCUGCAUCACAGCCUGGGGCUUUCAGCUCCACAUGUGAAUGGUUCGUCAAAAGGCCAGUGGCAGCAGCUACAACCGAGUCCCAGAAGGGGUCCAGGAGAGCUAGGUUUGGUAUGUUUGUGGCUGGUGCUGGAAGCUGGAGACACAGAGGCUUGUCUUGCUCUGUGCUGGACCCAAAGCUGUGGCUUGGGGCUUCCCUAGGACCCUAAUGGGGAGGCAAGAGCUCAUAUAGACCGACCCCUUGCAAUGCAGGAGUCUUGGCAAAAGAACAGAUGGUCAUCCAACCUCUGCUUAAAAACCUCCAAGGAAGGAGAGUCCACCACCUCCCAAGGGAGUCCGUUCAACUGGCGAACAGCUCUUGCUGUCAGAAAGAUGUUUAGUCGGAAUCUACUUCCUUGUAACUUGAAGAAAUUGGUUCAAGUCCCACCUUCCAGAGUAGGAGUAAACAAGCUUGCUCCAUCUUCCAUGUGACAGCCCUUGAGAUAUUUGAAGAUGGCUAUCAUAUCGCGGGUGGCGCUAUGGUCUAAACCACAGAGCCUAGGACUCGCCAAUCAGAAGGUCGGCGGUUCGAAUCCCCGUGACAGGGUGAGCUCCCGUUGCUCAGUCCCUGCUCCUGCUAACCUAGCAGUUUGAAAGCACGUCAAAGUGCAAGUAGAUAAAUAGGUGGGAAGGUAAACGGCGUUUCCAUGCGCUGCUCUGGUUCACCAGAAGCGGCUUAGUCAUGCUGGCCACAUGACCCAGAACCUGUAUGCCGGCUCCCUCGGCCAAUAAAGUGAGAUGAGCGCUGCAACCCCAGAGUCGGCCAUGACUGGACCUAAUGGUCAGGGGUCCCUUUACCUUCAUAUGUCUUCUCAGUUUCCUCUUUUCCAGGCUAAACAUAGGCAGCUCCUUGAUCAUCCUGGUUGCCCUCCUCUGCACACAUAACAGCUCAUUAACAUCCUUCUUAAAAUGCGGCACCCAGAACGGGAAACAGUACUCCAGGUGAGAUCUGUCCAGGUUGGAUAUAGCCAGUUUGGUGUAGUGCUUAGACUGUGGCCUGGGAGAGACCAGGGUUCAAUUCUCCAUUUGGCCAUGAAACUCACUGAGUGAUCCUUUAAGGACCAGUCACUGCUUCUCAGUGUCAUGUUCCCUCCCUGCCUGCCUAGCCAAAGAAGGCCCAUUUCUCCUCCUGCUGCCCUGGCUCCUGCCUUGUAGGCGGCACCAAACCCCCUAAAUUGCUGUCCCCGUCUCCUGGGUCACUGUCCUGGCUUCCUGCCUCCACCACACACACUUCAGAGCAGUCCCUGACACUCAGAUUAACCUACGUCAGAGGGCCAUUGUGGGAAGUAAAUGAGAGGGAGAGAACCUUGUAUAUAUCACCUUGAGCUCCUUAAAGGAAAAGGUGCAAUGACAGAAUGAAACAAUAUACAUGUAAAUAAAGUAAUAUACUCUUAAGACAGCAGUCUCCACUGAGAUUCAUUCCAAGGAAACCAAAUCGUGAGCAUGCACAGGAGGAACCCCUGGAUUAUCUUGUUGCUCAGAAAUUGGGGUACACACAACAUUGGAUUUUUUGCAGUAAAGGGAAAUGAUGAGUGUGCUGGAAAGUGCAUGACGAAACAUCAUCUGACCUCUCCACAAACCAGAGUAUAUGCUCAAACAGAAUAAGUUGCAACCUCCUUGCAAAGGCUUCUUUCAGAUGUCCAUUUUAUUGAGCAUUCAUUUGGAUUCUGAGGCAGCAAAACUUCUGAACAUCAGUUGCUGGAAACCGCAGGAAAGGGGAAGUGAUGGUGCUCGAGUCUUGCUUGCAAAUUUCCUAAAGGGAUCUGGUUGGCCGCUGUGACAAUAGGAUGCAGGACUAGACGGACCUCCUUUUGGCCUGAUCCAACAGGCCCAUAUUAGGUUUUUAUUUGUUUGAACAAAGUUUACAGGAUUGGAAAAAAAUGCAUCCUUUCCAGUGCAUUUUCCCAUUACUUUCCUUAUCCCCAAAAGUCAGGGUUUUUUUGAGAGGGAAGGAGGCAGGUGGUUUGUCACACAUGAGCUCCAAAUCAACUUCUAUUGCAUAACAUGAAUUUGCCAGUAUGUGGCUGAAUCCCACCCAACCAUCAGGAACAACCCAUAUAGUCUGCCAUGGUAAACACACUUACUUGGGAGCAAAUGUAAAAAUGUUUAUUUUGCAAAAUUUAUAUACUGCUUGAUUGUAGCAAAUCCUCUAACGUUUUACAAGAAAAAAUAAAAUUAUCAAUAAAAGAAAUGACACCUUUAAAAAUAAAUUAAGAGUAAAAGAGAUUAAACCACAUUGACAACUAUGUACCUGGAUUGGUUUGCCUAAACAAAAAUGUUUCUCCUGUCAGCAACUCUGCUGUAGCAUUUUGCAAUCACUAGUUUCUGGAUCAUGAAGCACAAGGGAAGCCCCACACAGAACGCAGUGCAGUAAUCCAGUUUUGAGAUCCCCAGUACCUGCACUACUGAGCUCUGUAGGGCUUUCUUUCGAGUAAACAUGCCUGCAUUGAGCGGUGUCACUUAAAGAGUUGUCGUCCUCGUUUCUUUCGCGAAAGGCCACGAGCAAUAGAAUGAGAGCGGAGGGCCGUGCCUUCCCAAAUGGACCUGGUGCCAAGGAGGCUGACUCCCACAUUCUUCGCCCCGGUCGCUUCUCUCUCUAAGCCUCGAAAGCUUUUGAGGAGGCAACAAUCGUGG
Molecule: non-coding RNA, 2769 nt
Organism: Podarcis lilfordi (Lilford's wall lizard)
Lineage: Eukaryota; Metazoa; Chordata; Lepidosauria; Squamata; Lacertidae
Source: the annotation of a GenBank genome assembly